This 497-nucleotide ribosomal RNA is filed under the name uncultured bacterium. Its description in RNAcentral is "partial 16S ribosomal RNA". It matches the Rfam family "Bacterial small subunit ribosomal RNA", at positions 28 to 507 of the family's 1533-position model. The record is from RNAcentral.
GAUGAACGCUGGCGGCGUGCCUAAUACAUGCAAGUCGAGCGAACGGACGAGAAGCUUGCUUCUCUGAUGUUAGCGGCGGACGGGUGAGUAACACGUGGAUAACCUACCUAUAAGACUGGGAUAACUUGGGGAAACCGGAGCUAAUACCGGAUAAUAUUUUGAACCGCAUGGUUCAAAAGUGAAAGACGGUCUUGCUGUCACUUAUAGAUGGAUCCGCGCUGCAUUAGCUAGUUGGUAAGGUAACGGCUUACCAAGGCAACGAUGCAUAGCCGACCUGAGAGGGUGAUCGGCCACACUGGAACUGAGACACGGCCCAGACUCCUACGGGAGGCAGCAGUAGGGAAUCUUCCGCAAUGGGCGAAAGCCUGACGGAGCAACGCCGCGUGAGUGAUGAAGGUCUUCGGAUCGUAAAACUCUGUUAUUAGGGAAGAACAUAUGUGUAAGUAACUGUGCACAUCUUGACGGUUCCUAAUCAGAAAGCCACGGCUAACUACGUG